This 68-nucleotide transfer RNA is filed under the name Lasiurus borealis (red bat). RNAcentral describes it as "tRNA-Trp". Lineage: Eukaryota; Metazoa; Chordata; Mammalia; Chiroptera; Vespertilionidae. The record is from RNAcentral.
AGAAGUUUAGGUUAUUUAGACCAGGAGCCUUCAAAGCCCCAAGAAGGUGAAAAAUCACUUAACUUCUG